GGGGGCGACCUGGCUUCGACGCGGGUUACGAAACCUAAGGUGCAUGCCGAGUACUCCAGUUCUUCUCGUAAAAAAGAUUGGAAAAAUAUAGUUGCUAACGAUAACAACUACGCACUAGCUG
Molecule: transfer-messenger RNA, 121 nt
Filed under: Methylophaga sp.
Lineage: Bacteria; Pseudomonadati; Pseudomonadota; Gammaproteobacteria; Thiotrichales; Piscirickettsiaceae
Description: partial transfer-messenger RNA
Rfam family: transfer-messenger RNA
About the family: Bacterial tmRNA, also known as 10Sa RNA or SsrA, is named for its dual tRNA and mRNA-like properties. Its role is to liberate the mRNA from a stalled ribosome.
Source: RNAcentral